RNAcentral lists this ribosomal RNA (253 nucleotides) under uncultured bacterium. Its description in RNAcentral is "partial 16S ribosomal RNA". It matches the Rfam family "Bacterial small subunit ribosomal RNA", at positions 524 to 776 of the family's 1533-position model. The record is from RNAcentral.
UACAGAGGUCUCAAGCGUUGUUCGGAAUCAUUGGGCGUAAAGGGCGCGUAGGUGGCGCGCUAAGUCGGGUGUGAAAUUUCGGAGCUUAACUCCGAAACUGCAUUCGAUACUGGCGUGCUUGAGGACUGGAGAGGAGACUGGAAUUCAUGGUGUAGCAGUGAAAUGCGUAGAGAUCAUGAGGAAGACCAGUGGCGAAGGCGGGUCUCUGGACAGUUCCUGACACUGAGACACGAAGGCCAGGGGAGCAAACGGG